GGGGACGACUGGUUUUGACAGCAAGGUUAGUGAACAUGUAAGCAUACCGAGGAGUGAAAUGAAUACUCGUAAAACUUAUUUCGACAAUUAAACGGCGAAAAUAACUACGCUUUAGCUGCCUAACAAUCUGAAUUACAGUAAGAUUUCGGCCUAGACACAUAAGAUGUGUAAGCUAAAUGUUUCUUGAAAGCGUUGAUUUACCGCGUUCAGCUAAGAAGCAUCGUAAAAGUAAAUAUGGAAACUCGAACGCUUCAAUCGGGUUUUGAAAUACAAGAAGAUAAGCUUGCAAGUAGGUUGUUUUUAGUCAGCUGCAAGUCGAAAAUCAAUUAAAAACUAAGUAUGUAGAAAGCAUUUUGGCUGCUUGUUUGGACCCGAGUUCGAUUCUCGGCGUCUCCACAA
RNAcentral lists this transfer-messenger RNA (399 nucleotides) under Flavobacteriaceae. RNAcentral's name for it is "SCGC-AAA160-P02 sp014075215 Standard tmRNA". It matches the Rfam family "transfer-messenger RNA". From Rfam's summary of the family: Bacterial tmRNA, also known as 10Sa RNA or SsrA, is named for its dual tRNA and mRNA-like properties. Its role is to liberate the mRNA from a stalled ribosome. The record is from RNAcentral. Lineage: Bacteria; Pseudomonadati; Bacteroidota; Flavobacteriia; Flavobacteriales. RNAcentral also lists the same sequence under 1 other name.